UACGUAGGGUGCAAGCGUUAAUCGGAAUUACUGGGCGUAAAGCGUGCGCAGGCGGUUUUGUAAGUCUGACGUGAAAUCCCCGGGCUCAACCUGGGAAUUGCGUUGGAGACUGCAAGGCUGGAGUCUGGCAGAGGGGGGUAGAAUUCCACGUGUAGCAGUGAAAUGCGUAGAGAUGUGGAGGAACACCGAUGGCGAAGGCAGCCUCCUGGGCCAGCACUGACGCUCAUGCACGAAAGCGUGGGGAGCAAACAGG
RNAcentral lists this ribosomal RNA (253 nucleotides) under uncultured bacterium. RNAcentral's name for it is "partial 16S ribosomal RNA". It matches the Rfam family "Bacterial small subunit ribosomal RNA", at positions 524 to 776 of the family's 1533-position model. The record is from RNAcentral.